Molecule: long non-coding RNA, 2293 nt
Organism: Felis catus (domestic cat)
Lineage: Eukaryota; Metazoa; Chordata; Mammalia; Carnivora; Felidae
Exons: 6
Source: RefSeq, a predicted model, not a curated record
GCAUGUGUGCACGCCCAUGUAACCACCACCCAGAGCAAGAUACAUUUCCAGAAGGUUCCUCAUGCCCCUUCCAGGUACUCGCUAUUCUGACCUCUAUCAGCAUUGAUUAGCUUUUCCUGGGAGGAGCGGCGUGGAACCACUUAUCUCGCUGAGGCAAGGAGGAAGACAGGAGGAUUUCCGUGUGAGGAGGAGCUGCUCACGGCAACAUGGCAACAUCGGAGGGGGAGCCUCCACAGGCAGUGGGGAGGGAGCGUUCAUACGGCGCACGGUCCCACCGGGUCUCCGCACGCUACCGUGAGGUAGUCAGCGAAGCGAGGAGAGUUUGAAUCGGAUGCAGAAAGCCAUGUGCCCAAAGCGACACGGCAAGUUAGUGGUGGAUCCGGAGGCCUGGAGUCUCCUGGCGUCUUGAACUUCUUACAGAAGCCUGACAUAUACACAAAACUGAGAGUUUAGCUGGUGAAUUUUCACAAAGUAAUCAGACUCCUGAAGCCAGCGUCAGAUCAACAGGACACUGCCAGCCCCUCAGAAGCCCCUUCACAGCCCACAAAGAGGAGCCAUUCCCUGACUUCUAACAUCACAGGGGAAUAUUGGCCAGCAAUACCAGGGAAUGAAACACUGAUUAAACAUGGAUGAACCAUGAAAACAUGAUGCUAAGUGAAAGAAGGCUGUCACAGAAGACUUUGCAAGUUCUGGCUCAAGAUGGUGACGUAGAAGGAUCCUGAACUCUCCUCCUCCCAGACACUGGAUAUACUGGAUAUGCAGCUACUUACGGAACAAUUAGCUGAAUGACUCCCACACAUCAGGCGAAGGAGAAAAAAACCCACAUCGAAGCAAAUGAGGAAGUUGAGGCCCAGAGAGGACCGGCCCUGAGUCACAGAGCUGCAAGUGGAGGAGCCAGGACUCCGGACUGUCUGCAUUCCAAACUUGCUCUGUUGGUCUUUGAGUUUGCAACCCUUGACUUCCCGACCCCUUGCUGAAAGUUUCACAGAGGAAGACAAGAGAGCCGAGGAGGAAGAAAUAGUUGAUGACCCUUGUCACAUUGAAUCAAAUUGAUGAUGCUGGUUCCCCUGCUGCCCAGGAGCAAACCAUGGAGAGGAUGGGUUUUUUUCUGCAUAUCCUCAGUGCCUGGUGCAGAGCCAACCGAGGGAACUACGUGCCAAAUGAAUGAGGUGACCUGCCCUCUGUCACAGAGAGCCGGAUGCGAACCCAGGGCUCCCGCCUGCCUACCCAGGCCUCUUCCCCCAGACCUGGCUGCUGUCCAACCUACCCUGCAUCCCCUUGGAUACUGGUAGAGGUCAAGAGCACAGGCUCUGAGUCUAGCAUAUUCACACCCAAAUUCCAGCUUCCUCUUUCACCACUUCGAGCCUUGAUUUCUCCACCAGCAAAUGGGGCUAAUCAUGGAACCUACAUCAUAGGGCUGCUGGGGGUGGGGGGGGUGGGGAUCUCUAGAUGAAAUCCUAUGCCCGUGAAUAACAGCGACCAGCAUAAAAUAGGUGCUCAAUAAAUAGUAGCUACUAUUGUGACACAAAUUUUGCAUGAAUGUGUGCGGUAGGGAGGGGUUUACCUUUGUCUUGAAAUUCUUUCCUUAGGCAUCAUCUUGCCCUCUCUUAAUCCAAGGCAACCUGAGCCUGCACAGGGCUGGGACACAAGGUCAUGCUCAUUAAGCGCUUCCCAUAUACCUCAGAAGCUCGACAACAAUAACCUUAAUUGCCUACUUACAUCCUAUCAUUCCAACGUGUAGCAAGUGCCUACUUUCCCCCAGGCCCUGGGUCAGGGCUGGGGAUCCGGGAUAAAUUGACCCUGUCCUGCCUUUAUAGACUAUCCACCUGGCUGGUAAGGUUAGACAAGGUCACACAAUUCUCUGACACACAUACAAUGACAAGUCUUAUGGGAAGGUCACCUUCCCAGGUGCACUGCUGGACUACAUUUCCCAGCCUUCCCUGCAAUUCAGUAUGGCCCAUGAGGCAGCUGUGGGGAUUGAAUGUGGGCAGGAGUGAUGUGUGCACUUCGGAGCCCUUACACUCCUUAGUACUCUCUCCGCCCUAUGAAUGGCUGGAAUAAAGAUGAUCCUCAGGGCCACCUGAGACCCACAUGUCGUAGGACCAAGUAGAGAGUUGCCACCUGCUCACAACUGUUAUAUAAGCAAGGACUCUAUUUCUAGCCUAUUUGCUGGGUAUCUAUAACAUUCUAUGUGUAACAGUAGCUAGGGUUGCCCCAGCUGAUAAUCUGCCAUGAAAGCCUGGUUCUCGUCUCUGUAACUUUUCCCCUUCCCAGCUCUAACAAUCACAUCGGG